Molecule: non-coding RNA, 24 nt
Filed under: Arabidopsis thaliana (thale cress)
Lineage: Eukaryota; Viridiplantae; Streptophyta; Magnoliopsida; Brassicales; Brassicaceae
Source: RNAcentral
GCAAGGACAUGCGUUGUGUAAUUA